Molecule: ribosomal RNA, 417 nt
Filed under: uncultured bacterium
Lineage: Bacteria
Description: bacterial SSU rRNA
Rfam family: Bacterial small subunit ribosomal RNA
Source: RNAcentral
UGGGGAAUAUUGGGCAAUGGACGCAAGUCUGACCCAGCAACGCCGCGUGAAGGAAGAAGGCUUUCGGGUUGUAAACUUCUUUUAAGGGGGAAGAGCAGAAGACGGUACCCCUUGAAUAAGCCACGGCUAACUACGUGCCAGCAGCCGCGGUAAUACGUAGGUGGCAAGCGUUGUCCGGAUUUACUGGGUGUAAAGGGCGUGCAGCCGGGAAGACAAGUCAGAUGUGAAAUCCCGCGGCUCAACCGCGGAACUGCAUUUGAAACUGUUUUUCUUGAGUAUCGGAGAGGUCAUCGGAAUUCCUAGUGUAGCGGUGAAAUGCGUAGAUAUUAGGAAGAACACCAGUGGCGAAGGCGGAUGACUGGACGACAACUGACGGUGAGGCGCGAAAGCGUGGGGAGCAAACAGGAUUAGAUACCC